CUGUGCAUCUCUCCCACGCAUA
This 22-nucleotide microRNA is filed under the name Ptychodera flava. RNAcentral's name for it is "Pfl-Mir-242_3p* (star (passenger))". Lineage: Eukaryota; Metazoa; Hemichordata; Enteropneusta; Ptychoderidae. The record is from RNAcentral.